This 3343-nucleotide long non-coding RNA is filed under the name Helianthus annuus (common sunflower). Its description in RNAcentral is "hypothetical non coding rna". Lineage: Eukaryota; Viridiplantae; Streptophyta; Magnoliopsida; Asterales; Asteraceae. The record is from RNAcentral.
UUUCUCUUCUUCUUCUCUCUAUACGUUGGUGUUCUAACCAAUAAUCACCGAUGCGAUGUUCUGUCCGAUUGAUUCAGGAACCAUCUAACGAAUGCCGAAGUGUUGUGCUUUGUGAAUUUCGUUAAACGGAAUCCAAAGUACUAUACUUUGUGAGUUCAUUAAAUGGAUACCAAAGUACUGUCUGAAUAAGACUAUACUUUGUGAAAUUCGUUAAGGUUCGAAUCUCGUGACUACCGUUAAGGUUUGAUUUGGGUUUUACACAAAUACGUAUUCCAUUCUGUUAAACUAUAUGUUUAACUACCAUAAUACUCCCAACCACACGCUCACAAUCAAACAAACUAUUAAAUCAUCAGAAGAUCCAGAAUAAUAAAGUGCAUGCUUAAUUAUCGGAAGAAGUAGAAUCAAGAAGCUUGAUAACUCAAUCUCACAUAAACCAGUAUGCGGGGUAAUUACAGUAUAUUGGAGUAAGGAUUGGAUCCAACACUGAAAGGACUUCAAGAAGUGGCUUAUUUUAUUAAUUAAAUCAACUUAAGAAAUAUUGUUUUUGGGGUUUAUCCCGUAUUAAAAGCUACCUUUGUAAAACCUGGAAUUUAUUCCAUCUAUUUAAAUAAAAUCCGGUGUUUCUAAACUCUGAUAUUUUUCCUAACUCACGGUCCUGAUGAAAUUUCCGCUGCAAUGUUUUUUCAAAAUAAUCACCGGUACCACUUGACUGCUCGCGGCUCCCGAUUCCGGUCAGGGUGGGGUCGGGGGUCGUGACAUAUUGCAAUGUAUUUAUGUGGUUGCAGGUAUAAACAACAUAUCCCUUAAAAUACCGACAAUCAAGGAACCGUAUUCCUUGAAGAACAAACUACCCCCAAAAUUCUCCCAUUCUAUGAUCCCUUGUAUUUCCCACGAAAUUCCUAAGUACCCGUUUCUUCUAAGGAAACGAAGUACAAGGCGCACGUUGCAACGCGAGACGAAUACCCAAAGUACCACUGUAAAUCCGUAAUAGGGUACCUAGGGAUAUUUCCGUAAAUCCUGAAAUUGAUGUGUUCCUUAAUUUGAAUAUUACGUUUCUUUGAAAACAAAAUUGAAUUUUUGGGACAUCUUCCUAUCUUUUCAGAUAGAUCCCAGAGGACAUUGUAGCCCAUCGACUGGUUUCCAUAUCCAUUCUCAAUCGAUAACAAAUUAAUAACCAAGUUAAACAACUAUGUGAUUAUGUGCUUAUGUGUUCCUUUUUAUGUUUUUGGUGUAAUCCAAGUUUUUUUUUAUCCAAAUCCUCGUAGAAUCUUCCAUAUCUACGAAUAAGGGAUUAUAAUGUACUACUCCAUAAUUAGACCCCUUGAGUGGUCUAGUUAAACAGAUUGAUCCAAAAAUCUUGUUAGGAAUAUCAUGUGAUGAUAUAGCUGGAAAGACUCCUUGGUGGUCUAAUUAAAGAGAUCAUCUGUCGAUCUAAUUAAAAGGACCCUAUGGUAGUCUAGUCACCCUCAUCACAGGUUUGAUUUUCCUCCCCUAAACAUUACAAGACAAACUGUGCGGACUAUGCAAGGAAUUACGUAAUUAUGGAUGCAUACAUAAUUAUGGAAUUUAGUGCACAGAAACCACAACGAGCUUUGUCAUGUGCCUAGAAGUUAACUCUAUUCAUUUCCGUUUCUGAGGAAGCACCCGUUGAAAAUGACUCCGUUUGUUCAUUUUCGUUUCUGAAGAUUGUCCGUUGAGGAAAUGAAUAUCCGUUUGAUUAUCCUUUUCAUUUCCAUUUCUGAUGAAGCACCCGUUGAAAAUAACUCCGUUUGUUGAUUUUCGUUUCUGAAGAUUGUCCGUUGAGGAAAUGAAUAUCCAUUUGAUUAUCCUUUUUCAUUUCCAUUUCUGAGGAAGCACCCGUUGAAAAUGACUCCGUUUGUUGAUAUUCGUUUCUGAAGAUUGUCCGUUGAGGAAAUGAAUAUCCGUUUGAUUAUCCUUUUCAUUUCCAUUUCUGGGGAAGCACCCGUUGAAAAUGACUCCGUUUGUUGAUUUUCGUUUCUGAAGAUUGUCCGUUGAGGAAAUGAAUAUCCGUUUGAUUAUCCUUUUCAUUUCCAUUUCUGAUGAAGCACCCGUUGAAAAUGACUCCGUAAGUUCAUUUUACGUUUCUGAAUAUUGUCCGUUGAGGAAAUGAAUCCCUGUUUGUUUAUUCCUUCAUUUCCGUUUCUGAAGAAUACUCGUUAAAGAAAUGGCAGGAUUAUGCCUUGUAUAUCUGGUGGUUACUUGACACAAAGUCACAGAUGGACUCCUACGAAUAAAAUUUCGGGACGAAAUUUCCAAAAGUAAGGGAGACUGUGACACCUGGGUCACUGAGACCAUCAAACAAAUACCAAGCCAAUGAAAUAUUGUAUUUCAUACUUGGAUCUGUAUAAAAAUGUGUAUCUUUGGCACAUAUCAACUCUUGUUCGAUUUUAAGCUCUAAAUCGCUUUCUAGAAGGUUAUACGCGCGCUGAUGCGUAAAUAUAACCAGUUUAAUGCAACAAACACUUCGGAAUAGUGAAAUAUGCUUAACAUACCUUAAAUAACCUUUACAUAACUUUGAAAUAAGUUUUGAAGGCUUUGGUAUGGCAAAAUCAAGUUAAUUCGCUUACAGGGACUAAAUUUGACAAACUGCGAAAGUAUGCCAAUUUGAACUGUAAUAGACAUUCCGGAACAUGACCAUAAGUUAAACACACCUUAAAAAUCCUUUACAUAGCUUAGAAAUAGGCUUUGAGGUGUUCGGUGUGCUAAAAUAAACUUUUGGAUCAUUCAGGGACUAAAAGUGUCAAAAGUGCAUAAGUUUGCACUUUCACGCAUAACUUACGUUCUAAAUACAUCCGGACAUCCAAAAAUUUAUGUAAGCAUUAUAAUAUUAUGCCUUAGUGUUUGGCAUGAGAAAAAUCCAUUCGUCGCGCAAUUUGGAUCGUUUUUCGCGCUUAUGCGCAUUCCGUCGUAAUUAAGCAAACAUCGCGAUCGUACGGCCAAACAAACCAACAUCCGGCAUAUUUUUGAGCAUGUUUCAUGUCCUUAAUGUUUAAGCAUCAUUUUAGGGCCUUAAAGAUGGCUUAACGGGCCUUAAACAUGUUGGAAAUGGCCUUAAACCACAACAGGGACCUAAAAUGUCAUUUCUGAAACUUGUUUUCUGAUCUGGACCCCAGACGGCCCGCGUAUGUCACACCCUGGCUUUGCGGAAGCGUGGUUAAUUUGGUGUGACUUCUUAAUACCAUAGCUUAACCAUAACAAGCUAUAUGAAUUUAAAAUCAUGCAAAGUCAUCCAUUAAAAAAAAUAAAAUUGUCAAACAUUGUCUAAAUGGGUAAACACCCAACAACCAUUACUUGUCUUAAACAGUACAACUACUACCAUAAU